RNAcentral lists this ribosomal RNA (605 nucleotides) under Penicillium chrysogenum. RNAcentral describes it as "SSU rRNA". It matches the Rfam family "Eukaryotic small subunit ribosomal RNA", at positions 76 to 682 of the family's 1831-position model. Lineage: Eukaryota; Fungi; Ascomycota; Eurotiomycetes; Eurotiales; Aspergillaceae. The record is from RNAcentral.
GUACUGUGAAACUGCGAAUGGCUCAUUAAAUCAGUUAUCGUUUAUUUGAUAGUACCUUACUACAUGGAUACCUGUGGUAAUUCUAGAGCUAAUACAUGCUAAAAACCCCGACUUCAGGAAGGGGUGUAUUUAUUAGAUAAAAAACCAACGCCCUUCGGGGCUCCUUGGUGAAUCAUAAUAACUUAACGAAUCGCAUGGCCUUGCGCCGGCGAUGGUUCAUUCAAAUUUCUGCCCUAUCAACUUUCGAUGGUAGGAUAGUGGCCUACCAUGGUGGCAACGGGUAACGGGGAAUUAGGGUUCGAUUCCGGAGAGGGAGCCUGAGAAACGGCUACCACAUCCCAAGGAAGGCAGCAGGCGCGCAAAUUACCCAAUCCCGAUACGGGGAGGUAGUGACAAUAAAUACUGAUACGGGGCUCUUUUGGGUCUCGUAAUUGGAAUGAGAACAAUUUAAAUCCCUUAACGAGGAACAAUCGGAGGGCAAGUCUGGUGCCAGCAGCCGCGGUAAUUCCAGCUCCAAUAGCGUAUAUUAAAGUUGUCGCAGUCACAAAGCUCGUAGUUGAACCUUGGGUCUGGCUGGCCGGUCCGCCUCACCGCGAGUACUGGUC